This 505-nucleotide ribosomal RNA is filed under the name uncultured Bacteroidota bacterium. RNAcentral's name for it is "bacterial SSU rRNA". It matches the Rfam family "Bacterial small subunit ribosomal RNA", at positions 44 to 540 of the family's 1533-position model. The record is from RNAcentral. Lineage: Bacteria; Pseudomonadati; Bacteroidota.
CGGCCUAACACAUGCAAGUCGAGGGGCAGCACGGGAGUAGCAAUACAACUGGUGGCGACCGGCGCACGGGUGAGUAACACGUAUGCAACCUACCUGUAAGAGGGGAAUAACCCGGAGAAAUUCGGACUAACACCGCAUAAUACCGAUUAACUGCAUGGUUGAUCGGUUAAAUAUUUAUAGCUGACAGAUGGGCAUGCGUAACAUUAGAUAGUGGGUGAGGUAACGGCUCACCAAGUCAACGAUGUUUAGGGGUUCUGAGAGGAAGGUCCCCCACACUGGUACUGAGACACGGACCAGACUCCUACGGGAGGCAGCAGUGAGGAAUAUUGGUCAAUGGGCGAGAGCCUGAACCAGCCAAGUCGCGUGAAGGAAGAAUGUCCUAUGGAUUGUAAACUUCUGUAGUAAGGGAAUAAAAAAGAGUACGUGUACUCUAUUGUAUGUACUCUACGAAUAAGGAUCGGCUAACUCCGUGCCAGCAGCCGCGGUAAUACGGAGGAUCCGAGCG